AAUGCUUCUCGGCCCUUUGGCUAAGAGCAAGUGCAGCGUCUGCUCUUAUCAAUUUAAUAUCUGAUAUGUCCUCUAUCCGAGGACAAUUUAUUAAAUGGAUUUUUGGAGCUGGGACUUGGGAUGGAAGCUUACUCCACCCACUCCACAAACUGACCUUGUAUUGCAGUACCUCCAGGGUCAGUGCAGGGAAG
RNAcentral lists this small nuclear RNA (191 nucleotides) under Microtus ochrogaster (prairie vole). Its description in RNAcentral is "U2 spliceosomal RNA (ENSMOCG00000011871.1)". It matches the Rfam family "U2 spliceosomal RNA". From Rfam's summary of the family: U2 is a small nuclear RNA (snRNA) component of the spliceosome (involved in pre-mRNA splicing). Complementary binding between U2 snRNA (in an area lying towards the 5' end but 3' to hairpin I) and the branchpoint sequence (BPS) of the intron results the bulging out of an unpaired adenosine, on the BPS, which initiates a nucleophilic attack at the intronic 5' splice site, thus starting the first of two transesterification reactions that mediate splicing. The record is from Rfam by way of RNAcentral. Lineage: Eukaryota; Metazoa; Chordata; Mammalia; Rodentia; Cricetidae.